AGAGAAGGAGUGAGGAUGAUCUCAGUUUUAUCUGUGUUUGGUUUUUCUCUAGGAGAAAAUGUAAAAAAUGAAUCUGAAGCAAAUAUAUCAAAAGACUGACAAUUGAAAUAUCUGGGAGAUUUUCUUCUGUGAUAUUAACCGUAAAGCAGGCUGGCCUCACAUAGGAUUUGCAGAGAAGCUGUUAGAGGGCAGAGACCCAGAAGAAGAUAUACCUUGAAAUUCUCUGUGUAACGAGCAAUAAAGAGCAGACAUAAAGCCCUGCAAGCAAAAUUCCUGAACAAAAGGUUUCUAUGAAGGAAGCGGCUGACCAGUCCCCAGGGGAUGAGUAUUCGUGAAGAGAGUGGUCAAGUGAGGGUGAUCAGGCCUGAGAGUGAUAAACAUCAGCAGAAGCCAAAGGGAUGCUGGGAAACAGGCUUGUAUAACAUGGUCAGCUCUAACUGGUAACCAUACGUAUGCAAAAUAAGAUACUAUUAUUAUCACCUCUGCAACUGAGGGGGGAGAAAAGAUAGGAUCCAGUCUUGGCAAUAAUGCAGGGAAACAGACUUCAUAGGCUGCUGAUGGAAGUGUAACCGGCUACAAGCUUUUCUGCAGGGCUUUGGCAAUGUGGAUUCAAAGCUAUCCACAGGUGCAUAACUUUUGACCCAGAAAUUCUACCUCUAGAAAUUCAUUUUAAGGAAGUAAUCAGAGAUGUAAUUAUAUGCUUAUCUAUAAGAAUAUUCAUCAGUUUUAUAACAGAAAAUUUUAAGAAAGAGUAAGUUUCUAUCACACAGAUCUGUGCUCAAAUCACAACUUACUAGUGAAUGAACCUGGGCAAAUUCCUCAACUUUUUUAAAGCCUCAGUUUCCUCAUCUGUAAAAUGGGCACAAUAAUAGUACCUUCUCCUAAUCAUUUCCCCAGCCUUGACUCACCAUUUCCGUACUUCUCUUGGCAACAAAACUCCUCAAAAGAGUAGGCUAUCUGCACUCUCUUUGAAAUCGGCUCCUACCAGUUUCUUGCCCUCGCCACUCCAGUGAAACUGAUGUUGUCCAGGUCACCAACAUUGACUAAAUUCAACGAACAAUCCUUGGCUCUCAUCAUAAUUGGGCAUACUUCAGCACAGUUGGCCCCUCCUUCUGUGACAUACUUUUUUCUCUUGGCUUCCAGGACCCUGUACACUCUAGAUUUUCUUCCUACCUCACAUUGGUCACUCCUCCAUCUCCUUUGCUGUAUCUUCCCUUUUCCCUGCCCUCUUAAGGACAGAGCACCUGGGACUCAGUCCUUGGUCUUCUCCAUCUACACCCCUUCACUCUCCCUUGAUGGUCUCAUCCAGUUUCAAGAUUUUGAAUACUAUCUGUAUGCAGAUGAUUCUAAUGUAUAUCUCCAUUCCAAACCUCUCCCUGAAAUACAGGCUGGUUUUUCCAACUGACUACGCAACAUCUUUAUUUAGAUGUCUAAUAGGCAUCUCAAAAUUAACAUACAGAACAAAGUUAACAUCCUUAUUUUCACUCCCCAGUUUGCUCCACCCAUGGCAUUCCUACCUCAAUUCCGUUCGUCAGGUUGUUCAGAACAAAAACCUUAGAGUCAUCCCUAAUUCUUUUUGGUUUUUUCCCUGUCAUACCCUACAUCCAAUCUCUCAGAAAAUCUGUUGACUCUACCUGCAGAAUAUAUCUGGAAUCAGAUCAGCUUUUACCACCUUCACCACUACUAGCCUGAUCUGAGCCACUAUCCCCUCUCACCUGGGUUACUGAAAUGGACUCCUAAUUAGUGUCCCUGUGAUCAUCCUUGCCCUCCACCACUCUUUUCUCGAGACAGCAGCCUGGGGCUUCCCUGGUGGCGCAGUGGUUGAGAGUCCGCCUGCCGAUGCAGGGGACGCGGGUUCGUGCCCCGGUCCGGGAGGAUCCCACAUGCCGCGGAGCGGCUGGGCCCGUGAGCCAUGGCCGCUGAGCCUGCGCGUCUGGAGC
Physeter macrocephalus (sperm whale) is the source of this 1940-nucleotide long non-coding RNA. RefSeq lists it as uncharacterized. NCBI's taxonomy places the organism in Eukaryota, Metazoa, Chordata, Mammalia, Artiodactyla, Physeteridae. The record is from RefSeq and is a predicted model, not a curated record. The transcript has 4 exons.